GGCGAACGCUGGCGGUAGGCCUAACACAUGCAAGUCGAACGGCAGCACAGUAAGAGCUUGCUCUUACGGGUGGCGAGUGGCGGACGGGUGAGGAAUACAUCGGAAUCUACUUUUUCGUGGGGGAUAACGUAGGGAAACUUACGCUAAUACCGCAUACGACCUACGGGUGAAAGCAGGGGAUCUUCGGACCUUGCGCGAUUGAAUGAGCCGAUGUCGGAUUAGCUAGUUGGCGGGGUAAAGGCCCACCAAGGCGACGAUCCGUAGCUGGUCUGAGAGGAUGAUCAGCCACACUGGAACUGAGACACGGUCCAGACUCCUACGGGAGGCAGCAGUGGGGAAUAUUGGACAAUGGGCGCAAGCCUGAUCCAGCCAUCCCGCGUGGGUGAAGAAGGCCUUCGGGUUGUAAAGCCCUUUUGUUGGGAAAGAAAAGCAGCAGGUUAAUACCCCGCUGUUCUGACGGUACCCAAAGAAUAAGCACCGGCUAACUUCGUG
RNAcentral lists this ribosomal RNA (492 nucleotides) under uncultured bacterium. Its description in RNAcentral is "partial 16S ribosomal RNA". It matches the Rfam family "Bacterial small subunit ribosomal RNA", at positions 28 to 507 of the family's 1533-position model. The record is from RNAcentral.